UGGGGAAUUUUGGACAAUGGGGGAAACCCUGAUCCAGCCAUCCCGCGUGUGCGAUGAAGGCCUUCGGGUUGUAAAGCACUUUUGGCAGGAAAGAAACGUCAUGGGUUAAUACCCCGUGAAACUGACGGUACCUGCAGAAUAAGCACCGGCUAACUACGUGCCAGCAGCCGCGGUAAUACGUAGGGUGCAAGCGUUAAUCGGAAUUACUGGGCGUAAAGCGUGCGCAGGCGGUUCGGAAAGAAAGAUGUGAAAUCCCAGAGCUCAACUUUGGAACUGCAUUUUUAACAACCGGGCUAAAGUGUGUCAGAGGGAGGUGGAAUUCCGCGUGUAGCAGUGAAAUGCGUAGAUAUGCGGAGGAACACCGAUGGCGAAGGCAGCCUCCUGGGAUAACACUGACGCUCAUGCACGAAAGCGUGGGGAGCAAACAGG
RNAcentral lists this ribosomal RNA (429 nucleotides) under Acidobacteriota bacterium. Its description in RNAcentral is "Acidobacteria bacterium partial 16S ribosomal RNA". It matches the Rfam family "Bacterial small subunit ribosomal RNA", at positions 355 to 776 of the family's 1533-position model. Lineage: Bacteria; Pseudomonadati; Acidobacteriota. The record is from RNAcentral.